RNAcentral lists this ribosomal RNA (1411 nucleotides) under Faucicola osloensis. Its description in RNAcentral is "Moraxella osloensis 16S ribosomal RNA". It matches the Rfam family "Bacterial small subunit ribosomal RNA". The record is from RNAcentral. Lineage: Bacteria; Pseudomonadati; Pseudomonadota; Gammaproteobacteria; Moraxellales; Moraxellaceae.
GCCUUACACAUGCAGUCGACGAUGACUCUCUAGCUUGCUAGAGAAGAUUAGUGGCGGACGGGUGAGUAACAUUUAGGAAUCUGCCUAGUAGUGGGGGAUAGCUCGGGGAAACUCGAAUUAAUACCGCAUACGACCUACGGGUGAAAGGGGGCGCAAGCUCUUGCUAUUAGAUGAGCCUAAAUCAGAUUAGCUAGUUGGUGGGGUAAAGGCCCACCAAGGCGACGAUCUGUAACUGGUCUGAGAGGAUGAUCAGUCACACCGGAACUGAGACACGGUCCGGACUCCUACGGGAGGCAGCAGUGGGGAAUAUUGGACAAUGGGGGCAACCCUGAUCCAGCCAUGCCGCGUGUGUGAAGAAGGCCUUUUGGUUGUAAAGCACUUUAAGCAGGGAGGAGAGGCUAAUGGUUAAUACCCAUUAGAUUAGACGUUACCUGCAGAAUAAGCACCGGCUAACUCUGUGCCAGCAGCCGCGGUAAUACAGAGGGUGCGAGCGUUAAUCGGAAUUACUGGGCGUAAAGCGAGUGUAGGUGGCUCAUUAAGUCACAUGUGAAAUCCCCGGGCUUAACCUGGGAACUGCAUGUGAUACUGGUGGUGCUAGAAUAUGUGAGAGGGAAGUAGAAUUCCAGGUGUAGCGGUGAAAUGCGUAGAGAUCUGGAGGAAUACCGAUGGCGAAGGCAGCUUCCUGGCAUAAUAUUGACACUGAGAUUCGAAAGCGUGGGUAGCAAACAGGAUUAGAUACCCUGGUAGUCCACGCCGUAAACGAUGUCUACUAGCCGUUGGGGUCCUUGAGACUUUAGUGGCGCAGUUAACGCGAUAAGUAGACCGCCUGGGGAGUACGGCCGCAAGGUUAAAACUCAAAUGAAUUGACGGGGGCCCGCACAAGCGGUGGAGCAUGUGGUUUAAUUCGAUGCAACGCGAAGAACCUUACCUGGUCUUGACAUAGUGAGAAUCUUUCAGAGAUGAGAGAGUGCCUUCGGGAAUUCACAUACAGGUGCUGCAUGGCUGUCGUCAGCUCGUGUCGUGAGAUGUUGGGUUAAGUCCCGCAACGAGCGCAACCCUUUUCCUUAUUUGCCAGCGGGUUAAGCCGGGAACUUUAAGGAUACUGCCAGUGACAAACUGGAGGAAGGCGGGGACGACGUCAAGUCAUCAUGGCCCUUACGACCAGGGCUACACACGUGCUACAAUGGUAGGUACAGAGGGUUGCUACACAGCGAUGUGAUGCUAAUCUCAAAAAGCCUAUCGUAGUCCGGAUUGGAGUCUGCAACUCGACUCCAUGAAGUCGGAAUCGCUAGUAAUCGCAGAUCAGAAUGCUGCGGUGAAUACGUUCCCGGGCCUUGUACACACCGCCCGUCACACCAUGGGAGUCUAUUGCACCAGAAGUAGGUAGCCUAACGUAAGAGGGCGCUUACCA